Molecule: long non-coding RNA, 1147 nt
Organism: Nannospalax galili (Upper Galilee mountains blind mole rat)
Lineage: Eukaryota; Metazoa; Chordata; Mammalia; Rodentia; Spalacidae
Exons: 3
Source: RefSeq, a predicted model, not a curated record
CGAUGGGAAGCCAGCGGCUGGGAAGACGACGCGGGGGAGGGGGGAAGCGGCGCCCCCUCCCGCCGCGGUGUGACGGACGGCGAAGCCAGCCAAUGAAAGGAAAAAUCAAUGCAAAGCUCCCGUCAGAUUCCACUGAGAGAUUCCCCCUGAAGACACCAUCAGAUUCCAUGGAUGGAUCCCGUGAGGAUACCAACAGAUACUUGGUGAUUCCCACAUGGGGGACCCAAGGCAAACCCAUUUCUCCACUUCUGGUGAACUCCACUGGAGCCUCCAAAAUCAGCAUCUGUGCACAUGCGCUGCUUCACUGCAGAGACCCUGAACCCUGAACCAGAUCAGAUUCCGCAGUCGAUUACGGAAACCGAAGAUCCACAGGCGGCGUUCUCCCUCCCCUACACUUUAUCCCGCCCGCGCAUCUCCUUUCUCGUUACUAUUCAGAGAAACAGAUGAUCAACACGCGGUGCGGCUGCAAAGUCGAAUUCCUAUUGGUCAGAGGCGGCGUGAGCUGCGCCCGCCCGCUCCACCUGGGUGGGGCUUCCCGUUUGACCCUGUAUUGCCUUGAUCUGUACCGCCCCAUCACCGGUCAGUCGUUCUUAAAGGGGCCGAGACCCAUUCAGGCGCGGAGCUGUCUGCUCUCCGCAGAUCUGCUGGAGAAGGGAGCGCCCGGGUCAGUUUCCCGGGCGCCACAGCAGAUAAAGAUCUGGAGGUGGAGGCGCCUGGGGGCGGAGCCUCAGCCAGUGGCAAUCCUUGCACCUGCUAAAAGUCCCGCCCACGGGUUUCGGAUGCAGUUUCUUGUCUCACCGUUAGGGGGCAGGGCUCCCACUUGACUGCGAAUAAUAAAUAAUCAUGAUUAUUUAUCCAAUCAUGAUUGGAGUGAGUUGCGCAUGCUGCUGCCCAAACCCCGAGAGCUAGCACUCAACCAACUGAGCCCAGCUCUUGCCUCAGGACCAUUUUUUAAAUAUUGUUGUUUUAUUUGAGAUAAACUUUCACUCUGUAGCCUCUUGAACGCAGCACAGCAAUCCUCCUGUCUCAGGUUCCCAACUGCUGAAAUAAUUAUGUGUCAUCAUGUUUGGCUUAUGACCACCUAUUAAUAACAUGUUCUGUUUAUUAAUUUUCAUUUUAUUUUAUUUAUUCAAAGUUAUGUCUAGGA